GACGAACGCUGGCGGCGUGCCUAAUACAUGCAAGUAGAACGCACAGUUUAUACCGUAGCUUGCUACACCAUAGACUGUGAGUUGCGAACGGGUGAGUAACGCGUAGGUAACCUGCCUGGUAGCGGGGGAUAACUAUUGGAAACGAUAGCUAAUACCGCAUAAUAUUGAUUAUUGCAUGAUAAUUAAUUGAAAGGUGCAAUUGCACCACUACCAGAUGGACCUGCGUUGUAUUAGCUAGUAGGUGAGGUAACGGCUCACCUAGGCGACGAUACAUAGCCGACCUGAGAAGGUGAUCGGCCACACUGGGACUGAGACACGGCCCAGACUCCUACGGGAGGCAGCAGUAGGGAAUCUUCGGCAAUGGACGAAAGUCUGACCGAGCAACGCCGCGUGAGUGAAGAAGGUUUUCGGAUCGUAAAGCUCUGUUGUAAGAGAAGAACGGGUGUGAGAGUGGAAAGUUCACACUGUGACGGUAUCUUACCAGAAAGGGACGGCUAACUACGUG
RNAcentral lists this ribosomal RNA (505 nucleotides) under uncultured bacterium. RNAcentral's name for it is "partial 16S ribosomal RNA". It matches the Rfam family "Bacterial small subunit ribosomal RNA", at positions 28 to 507 of the family's 1533-position model. The record is from RNAcentral.